CAGGCUGAGCUUUGGGGCCUUGUAAUGUCUUCUAACUUACAAGGCAUCUAUAUAAUUGUUUUUCAUUGCCAACAAUGGCAUUUUUUGUUAUAAGUACUUUUUGAAAACUAAUAUAUGCCCAUUUUAAAGAAGUUCAAGCACACCUCCCAAGCCCUGUGCAAAGUUUCCAUCCAUGGAGAGCCAUGCCCACCAAGCCUCAAGCGUGAGCAAUUAACCUGAAGAAGACCAGUUCCAAAGCACAUAGCUUCCAAUCUGGAACACUUCACGAAGCCCAGCUCAGCAGGAUCUCUGAACAGACAAGCAAAGUGGGGAGCAGGAAGAGGAGAGGACCUCGGGAGUGUGCAGUCUCCACCUCCUUCCCAUCCUUAAUGAACCAGAUCUUUCCAAGGAGACUACCAAGCUGAGGAUCUGGAGAAGCUACAAGCUGUAUUGGUGGCAUGUACUUAUGAAUGCUGCGAGACAAAGCCUUCAGAGCUGGCCCCAGAUGUGAGGCGGUGUUACCAGUGAACAUGGAUGUGGCGCCACAGCAAGGACAGCUGAGGCGGGGCAGGACCUUCUCCACUGUCCCCACUCUGGACUCUGCAAGCACCGUAUCUGGCCAGAGACAAAGUGGCUGGUAUCUGACUGGGUACUCAGCCACCAGCCUGCUGCAUCUGGCUGUCCCUGGGAAGAAAGGAGGAUACAAGUUUUAGGUUUUAAAUUUUAAAAUGUAUUUUUAAUAAAUAAUCUUUGCACGCAGUCCAGUGUGUGGAGAAGGGUCUCUCUCCUCCUCCUGCCUCUGUCCCUCAGGGCUCCUGACUCCUUCCUGAGAAGCAACCUCCUCCGCUGCCUGAUUCCUUGGGUCCUGUGGGGUUCUUAGCACACACAGCUGGGGCACUUGAUUCUGUUACACAAAGGGCAGCACACUGCACUGCUGUUUAUUUAGCCA
This 928-nucleotide long non-coding RNA is filed under the name Heterocephalus glaber (naked mole-rat). RNAcentral's name for it is "lncRNA (ENSHGLG00100035510.1)". Lineage: Eukaryota; Metazoa; Chordata; Mammalia; Rodentia; Bathyergidae. The record is from RNAcentral.